AACCACUAAGGGGAAAUACCGGUGCAGUUGCCCUGAACCAUGAUGGCCGUCUCUUGACAUCAGCCCAGAUGCUAGAGGUACUGAGACAACGACAUCAUAAAAGCCUGUGUCUUGGCAUCAUCUCAGCAAGAAAGAUGCUGAGCCAGUGUUAAGUAAGAAAUGCAGCUCCUCCUCGGAAAGUUCUGUCCCUCUCCCUUUCCUGGGUUGGGAGCUGGUGAAAUAAGGAUUCGUCAAUCAAGAAAAUCUUCAAUACAAUCCAGUUCAUAGACUGCCUUCCACGGGGUCCAGCACCAUGGAGGCAGCUAAUCCCACUUUCCAUGCAAAAGAAGCAAAACCUGGAUACUCAGGAAGAAAAAACAAACAUGGGAGGAGAAAAACUGUAUGAGAAACUCUACAGGCGUUAAGUCACAAGGGGCCAGCCAGAUUCUCCUCAAUGAAGGGCUUGAAAGGUGGUGAGUAUAUCCUCUAAAGUCCACAGAACGUGAGAAUCUGCAAGGAGAUCCACAGACCUUGGGAGCCUCCUCGUGGUUUCCUGGCCAAUCCAUGACUGUACAGCCUCUCUCUCAGACUUGGCUGCACAGGUCUUGCAUGACCAUUUGGUCUAAUACAGAUUCAGUUUAGUAUAACGAUACAGACACAUCAUCAUUAUUCUAAGCUAACGCAUUGUUAAAAUAUGGGAAAACUUAACAUAUUUUUAAAAUAAAAAGCAAAACUGAAUUGUCAAGAAGGAAUUUCAAUACAAAAUAGAGCUGUUGCUUUAUCAGCAAUAAAAGAGGAAGCACCUUUUUCACUUUGUUGUAGUAGAGGCUAUAGUAACUUAAAUGGGACUCCAUU
Trachemys scripta elegans is the source of this 834-nucleotide long non-coding RNA. RefSeq lists it as uncharacterized. NCBI's taxonomy places the organism in Eukaryota, Metazoa, Chordata, Testudines, Emydidae. The record is from RefSeq and is a predicted model, not a curated record. The transcript has 3 exons.